Pongo abelii (Sumatran orangutan) is the source of this 147-nucleotide unclassified non-coding RNA. It matches the Rfam family "Metazoan signal recognition particle RNA". Rfam says of the family: The signal recognition particle (SRP) is a universally conserved ribonucleoprotein. It is involved in the co-translational targeting of proteins to membranes. Lineage: Eukaryota; Metazoa; Chordata; Mammalia; Primates; Hominidae. The record is from Ensembl.
GCUGGGCAUGGUGGCAUAUGCCUGUAAUCCCAGCUACUAGGGAGGCUGAGGCAGAAGAAUCGCUUGAACCCGGGAGGUGAGGUUGCAGUGAGCCAAGACCGUGCCACUGCACUCCAGCCUGGGCAAUAGAGCGAGACUCUGUCUCAA